Molecule: long non-coding RNA, 589 nt
Filed under: Panax ginseng (ginseng)
Lineage: Eukaryota; Viridiplantae; Streptophyta; Magnoliopsida; Apiales; Araliaceae
Description: long non-coding RNA (PGIN_LNC000155)
Source: RNAcentral
AAGUGUGUAGAAAACAUGUAGGACUACAAUGCUAACACUUAACAUCAUCAUAACAACAAGAAAUCAAGCAGCUAAAGUAUGGUCAAACCUUGUCAGAAAAAUCAACACUUAGAAAAUUCUGGGCUGCCCAGAAUUUUCCGGUCAAUGCCGGUCAACCCACUUUGACCUUAAAUAACUCUUAAUCCAUAAUAUAUAUGGACCUGAUUCUUUUUGGAGGUUAAAUACAACAUAACAAGCUACACAUAAAAACCUUUAGAACACAAAACACAUUAAAGAUAACCGAGAUAUAAGGCCUGACAUUUUCCAAAAUAAUAUUUUCUGGACACUUAGAAUAUUUUCUGGGUUUGAAGAACAGCCGGUCAAUGCCGGUCAACCCACUUUGACCGCUUAUAAAUACCGAUCUACAAUAGCUAUGAACUUUAUUCCUUUUGGAGAUUAAAGACCACAUAUCAGGCUACCUAUAACAACUUUUAAACAACAAAACUCGAGAUCGACCAAAGAGUUAUAGCCUCUGACAUUUGGUGAAAAAUAACAGAAUUCGGUUUUUCCAACUUGCUUAAAUCUUCAAAUUCGUGCACUUUGAUGUUAU